AGAUAUAGAUGAAUGUAAGUCUGGUAUCCAUGGCUGCCAGCACGGCUGUAACAACCUUCCCGGAACAUACGAAUGUACCUGUCCGGACGGCUUCGUGCUGAUUGGUCAAGACUGCUUAGAUGUGGACGAGUGUUCUCUAGAUCUGGACGACUGUUCGCAGUCCUGUACCAAUACGAAUGGCUCCUACACGUGCGGGUGUCCUACAGGGUAUGCGCUUAACCCAGACGGAAGGACAUGUGACGACGUGAACGAGUGCACCAGCUCCCCCUGUCAGAACGGAGGUGAAUGUCAGGAUGGAGUUAACCAGUACACAUGUUCGUGUGCCCGCGGUUGGGUUGGAGCUCAUUGUGAAGAAGGUGUG
Long non-coding RNA from Branchiostoma floridae (Florida lancelet), 361 nucleotides. RefSeq lists it as uncharacterized. The transcript is spliced from 3 exons. The record is from RefSeq and is a predicted model, not a curated record. Lineage: Eukaryota; Metazoa; Chordata; Leptocardii; Amphioxiformes; Branchiostomatidae.